Molecule: ribosomal RNA, 583 nt
Filed under: Bacillus aerophilus
Lineage: Bacteria; Bacillati; Bacillota; Bacilli; Caryophanales; Bacillaceae
Description: bacterial SSU rRNA
Rfam family: Bacterial small subunit ribosomal RNA
Source: RNAcentral
GAAGGGAGCUUGCUCCCGGAUGUUAGCGGCGGACGGGUGAGUAACACGUGGGUAACCUGCCUGUAAGACUGGGAUAACUCCGGGAAACCGGAGCUAAUACCGGAUAGUUCCUUGAACCGCAUGGUUCAAGGAUGAAAGACGGUUUCGGCUGUCACUUACAGAUGGACCCGCGGCGCAUUAGCUAGUUGGUGAGGUAACGGCUCACCAAGGCGACGAUGCGUAGCCGACCUGAGAGGGUGAUCGGCCACACUGGGACUGAGACACGGCCCAGACUCCUACGGGAGGCAGCAGUAGGGAAUCUUCCGCAAUGGACGAAAGUCUGACGGAGCAACGCCGCGUGAGUGAUGAAGGUUUUCGGAUCGUAAAGCUCUGUUGUUAGGGAAGAACAAGUGCAAGAGUAACUGCUUGCACCUUGACGGUACCUAACCAGAAAGCCACGGCUAACUACGUGCCAGCAGCCGCGGUAAUACGUAGGUGGCAAGCGUUGUCCGGAAUUAUUGGGCGUAAAGGGCUCGCAGGCGGUUUCUUAAGUCUGAUGUGAAAGCCCCCGGCUCAACCGGGGAGGGUCAUUGGAAACUGGGAA